Molecule: long non-coding RNA, 1003 nt
Organism: Daucus carota subsp. sativus
Lineage: Eukaryota; Viridiplantae; Streptophyta; Magnoliopsida; Apiales; Apiaceae
Exons: 3
Source: RefSeq, a predicted model, not a curated record
GAAACACUACUAGAAAAAUGACAUUAGACAUCGCACUUUAGACAUCGGUUAGAAAUACCCCUGAUGUUAAAAGUAUAUCUUACAUCAAAUAAAUCAAAAACGAUGUCUAUUAACAAUCUAAACAUCAGUUAUUGUUAAAAAUGAUGUCUUAUUCCCAGUUUCAAAAAAUGAAAAACAACCCGCUCAUUAUUCCCCCUUAUUACAGAUAUAUUCCCCCUUAACCAAAUUUUAUUUCCCACCUUCACCAAAAUCUUAUUUCCCCUCUUUCUUUCUUUUCUUCACGACUAUGUCUCUCGAGUCUCGACUGACGACUUUCUCGACCCUCUCUCUCUUUUUCGACUCUCUCGACUCUCUCUUCUCCCACCUCUACUCUCCCUAUCUCGUCUAUCUGGUCUCUCUCACACCAUCGAUCUUGCUCCGACAUUCAUAUAGUAGUUAGGGUUCAAUUGGGUAAACCCUAAUUUGUUCUAUUGGAGACACAACUCGAAGAAAUUAGCAACUUGAAGCAAUUAGUAGAUAGAAACUUAGCUCUGAGAAACGCAACCUGCAAAUUAUAAGUUCGAUUGGGUUUAAGGGUUUGAUUAGUUCAAUUGGGUUUUAGGGUUCUUUUCCGAGUCUCCAUCUUCUUUUUCAAGUAAUAUGUUUAUGGCUGGGUCAAGAAAGUACUAUGUUUGUUUAUAUCAGAGGCUCACAGAACUAGAUGGAUUUGUUCUCUCAUUCGACCCAAAACCCAUCCCGGUAAAACUUAUAGGUUCCGGAUAUCAAAUGUGGGCCUUACUACCAACCAAGCACGUUCAAUCAGGUACGGACCUGCCCAGCUGCAUAUUGCCUUGCAGAUUGUUGCUAUAAUUUUAUUCAUCUAGUAAUGCAAAGUGCAAAACGAGCAAUAAUGUGUAUUUGUGUGUAUGUGCACGUCCAUGCGGCUGAGCUCUGCGCUGAUCUGCACGUUGAAUAUGCCUUGUUUAAUUUUAAUAUGAAAAAUGCAGACUUGGCUCUUUGUUUA